AGUUUGCCAGCGGGUCGAUGCCGGGGACGUCUAGCGGAACUGCCAGCGUAAGCUGCGAGGAAGGUGGGGAGUGACGUCAAAUCAGCACGGCCCUUACGUCCAGGGCUACACACGUGUUACAAUGGCCGGUACAGAGGGCAGCCACCCCGCGAGGGGGCGCGAAUCCCGAAAGCCGGUCCCAGUUCGGAUCGGAGUCUGCAACCCGACUCCGUGAAGCUGGAUUCGCUAGUAAUCGCGCAUCAGCCACGGCGCGGUGAAUACGUUCCCGGGCCUU
Molecule: ribosomal RNA, 274 nt
Filed under: uncultured Rikenellaceae bacterium
Lineage: Bacteria; Pseudomonadati; Bacteroidota; Bacteroidia; Bacteroidales; Rikenellaceae
Description: partial 16S ribosomal RNA
Rfam family: Bacterial small subunit ribosomal RNA
Source: RNAcentral